GUGGGGAAUAUUGCACAAUGGGGGAAACCCUGAUGCAGCGACGCCGCGUGAGUGAAGAAGUAUUUCGGUACGUAAAGCUCUAUCAGCAAGGAAGAAAAUGACGGUACUUGACUAAGAAGCCCCGGCUAACUACGUGCCAGCAGCCGCGGUAAUACGUAGGGGGCAAGCGUUAUCCGGAUUUACUGGGUGUAAAGGGAGCGUAGACGGUAUGGUAAGUCAGAUGUGAAAGCCCGGGGCUCAACCCCGGGACUGCAUUUGAAACUAUCAGACUAGAGUGCAGGAGAGGUAUGUGGAAUUCCUAGUGUAGCGGUGAAAAUCGUAGAUAUUAGGAGGAACACCAGUGGCGAAGGCGGCUUACUGGACUGUAACUGAAGUUGAGGCUCGAAAGCGUGGGGAGCAAACAGGAUUAGAAACCCUGGUAGUCC
RNAcentral lists this ribosomal RNA (425 nucleotides) under uncultured bacterium. RNAcentral's name for it is "partial 16S ribosomal RNA". It matches the Rfam family "Bacterial small subunit ribosomal RNA", at positions 354 to 796 of the family's 1533-position model. The record is from RNAcentral.